This 173-nucleotide ribosomal RNA is filed under the name Carassius auratus ssp. 'Kinbuna'. RNAcentral describes it as "partial 12S rRNA". Lineage: Eukaryota; Metazoa; Chordata; Actinopteri; Cypriniformes; Cyprinidae. The record is from RNAcentral.
CACCGCGGUUAGACGAGAGGCCCUAGUUGAUAUUACAACGGCGUAAAGGGUGGUUAAGGAUAAACAAAAAUAAAGUCAAAUGGCCCCUUGGCCGUCAUACGCUUCUAGGCAUCCGAAGCCCUAAUACGAAAGUAACUUUAAUAAACCCACCUGACCCCACGAAAGCUGAGAAA